Molecule: long non-coding RNA, 254 nt
Filed under: Ananas comosus (pineapple)
Lineage: Eukaryota; Viridiplantae; Streptophyta; Magnoliopsida; Poales; Bromeliaceae
Description: long non-coding RNA (ACOM_LNC035562)
Source: RNAcentral
AAUUCGAUCCAUGUUCGAAUAGCAAUGUUCAAUGACAUUAUUAAAUCUUUAACUUUUCCGUUUACCCAAUCUGUGGCGAGGCCUUAGGGCUCACCCAUAACUCACCCUUCAAUUCCAAAGUGGGGAGGGAGCUCCAUGUGCACCCAAGCCCGGGACCGUCUGCGGACCUUCAUGUGGUCCGGACCUCCAAGUGGCCCUAGUCGCGCGACACUCGGGAGUACUCGACGACAAUCCCCUCCAUGUGGGGAUUGGAU